GACGAACCGUACGAACGUUAUUCGGAAUCACUGGGCUUAAAGGGUGCGUAGGCGGCGCGGAAAGUUGGGUGUGAAAUCCCUCGGCUUAACCGAGGAAUUGCGCUCAAAACUUCCGUGCUCGAGGGAGACAGAGGUGAGCGGAACUUAGGGUGGAGCGGUGAAAUGCGUUGAUAUCCUAAGGAACACCGGUGGCGAAGGCGGCUCACUGGGUCUCUUCUGACGCUGAGGCACGAAAGCUAGGGGAGCGAACGGG
This 253-nucleotide ribosomal RNA is filed under the name uncultured bacterium. Its description in RNAcentral is "partial 16S ribosomal RNA". It matches the Rfam family "Bacterial small subunit ribosomal RNA", at positions 524 to 776 of the family's 1533-position model. The record is from RNAcentral.